RNAcentral lists this ribosomal RNA (400 nucleotides) under uncultured bacterium. RNAcentral describes it as "bacterial SSU rRNA". It matches the Rfam family "Bacterial small subunit ribosomal RNA", at positions 356 to 773 of the family's 1533-position model. The record is from RNAcentral.
GGGGAAUAUUGCACAAUGGGGGAAACCCUGAUGCAGCGACGCCGCGUGAGCGAUGAAGGCUUUCGAGUCGUAAAGCUCUGUCCUAUGGGAAGAUAAUGACGGUACCAUAGAAGAAAGCCCCGGCUAAUUACGUGCCAGCAGCCGCGGUAAUACGUAAGGGGCGAGCGUUGUCCGGAAUUAUUGGGCGUAAAGAGUGCGUAGGCGGCAAAUUAAGUCAGAUGUGAAAACUAAGGGCUCAACCCAUAGAUUGCAUCUGAAACUGAUAUGCUUGAGUCAAGGAGAGGAAAGUGGAAUUCCUAGUGUAGCGGUGGAAUGCGUAGAUAUUAGGAGGAAUACCGGUGGCGAAGGCGACUUUCUGGACUUGAACUGACGCUGAGGCACGAAAGCGUGGGGAGCAAAC